CGAGAUGGUACCGCAGACAUGUGACAGUAUUUAGGUGGACUUACGGAAGCAUGGACCUGCAGAAUCCAGACCACCACAGUUGGUGUCUGGUGUGGAGAUGCAGAAACUGCCAAGCAAAUGUGGAGCUGAAUAAACACUGGGCAGCAUGAUCAAGAUUUCCACUCAUCACCCAAGGCGAUAAUGGACGACACCCACAGCUUUCACAUUCCGGAGCGUGUGCUGAAGGCGACGGCAGCGCCGAACAAUGGCCGGGUGGUAUACGACCUCCUGUGGAGCGCGCUGAACAUGGGCCUA
Long non-coding RNA from Pollicipes pollicipes, 294 nucleotides. RefSeq lists it as uncharacterized. The transcript is spliced from 3 exons. NCBI's taxonomy places the organism in Eukaryota, Metazoa, Arthropoda, Thecostraca, Pollicipedomorpha, Pollicipedidae. The record is from RefSeq and is a predicted model, not a curated record.